GGGAAAGCUAGGCUGGGAGGUUAGCGUUCUCUUGUUACUGUCAACACGCUUUAGACAGAGUCGAAGCCCGCGGAAGGGUCAGUUUUGUUUUGUUGGUCCUGAUUGUCUUUGCUGACGGCUUGUCCUUUGGGAUGGGCUUACUGGGAAUCUGGUCAGAUUCGGAAGAAAGCAGCCAUAACCUUUGAGUUUCAUGUUCAGAGGGUUGCAAGUCUGAGAAGCUUUUGGGAUUAAGCCAACGAGGUUUAGUUGAUUCGACUAUCGGGCGUGCCCU
Molecule: signal recognition particle RNA, 271 nt
Filed under: Candidatus Woesearchaeota archaeon
Lineage: Archaea; Nanobdellati; Candidatus Woesearchaeota
Description: signal recognition particle sRNA
Rfam family: Archaeal signal recognition particle RNA
Source: RNAcentral